AUUGGACGCUGGCGGCAUGCUUUACACAUGCAAGUCGAACGGCAGCGCGGGCUUCGGCCUGGCGGCGAGUGGCGAACGGGUGAGUAAUACAUCGGAACGUGCCCAGUAGUGGGGGAUAGCUCGGCGAAAGCCGGAUUAAUACCGCAUACGACCUGAGGGUGAAAGCGGGGGAUCUUCGGACCUCGCGCUAUUGGAGCGGCCGAUGGCAGAUUAGCUAGUUGGUGGGGUAAAGGCCUACCAAGGCGACGAUCUGUAGCUGGUCUGAGAGGACGACCAGCCACACCGGGACUGAGACACGGCCCAGACUCCUACGGGAGGCAGCAGUGGGGAAUUUUGGACAAUGGGCGAAAGCCUGAUCCAGCAAUGCCGCGUGUGUGAUGAAGGCCUUCGGGUUGUAAAGCACUUUUGGCGGGAACGAAAAGGACUGUGCCAAUACCACGGUUCGAUGACGGUACCCGCAGAAUAAGCACCGGCUAACUACGUG
This 484-nucleotide ribosomal RNA is filed under the name uncultured bacterium. Its description in RNAcentral is "partial 16S ribosomal RNA". It matches the Rfam family "Bacterial small subunit ribosomal RNA", at positions 29 to 507 of the family's 1533-position model. The record is from RNAcentral.